AUGUGGCAACCAGGCCAGGCCACACCUACGUGCAGACAACUUGACUCUGGCCUGGGGCGGGCAGCCGGGAGGAGACCCGAGAGGCACCCACAGCCACCUGCAGGGAGGGCUCAUGGCUCUGGGUUGCCCACGUCCCCUCGGGAGCCCCAUGGGGAGGGAAGGGCUGCAGCCACACCCAGAGCAGCCCGGCCUCCUCCCCUGCCCGGGCCCAGCACUCCCGGACAGGGCCUGCCUGGACACUCCCGAGGUGCCCAGCCCGCACUGGUGUCCCCACACAACGGACUCACCCCGGUGCCCGGGAUGCCCGCACACGGCUUCAGCUCCCCGGCCCCAGCGCGGGAGAGGGACUGCCGUCGCCUGCAGCCGGCGCCCGCCCGCCCACUGUCCCGGGCCCCGCCAGCCCCGCGACCGCCGCCCCGUGCCCGGGCUGUGCGGGCCCUGCCCAUCGCUGCCCCGGUGCUCCCAGACGCGGCGCCGACUCACGUGAACACGAAGAAGAGGGUGCUGGAGCCGACCAGCAGCGCAGCGGCCGUGGCCACCGGGAUGUACUUGGCGGGUUUGAGGCGCGUCCCGGGGCUGCGGGGCAUCCUGGGCGCCGCGCCGCCGCAUCCCUCCCCGGGGCCGGGCGGGCGGGGCCGGGGUCGGGCCGGGGUCGGGCGGGCGGGCUGGACGCGGCGCAGGACCCGCGGCGGCGGCGGCGGCGGCGGAGGAAAUCCCACCCACUGGCGGCGGCGGCGGCGGCGCGCUGAUGUCAGCGCGCCCCAUAAGGUGGACCGGGCGCCGGGGCUGCGGCGAGGAGGGACGGGGCGGGGCGAAUCGACGGGUCCCGGGGCCGCCCACCGGUUCCCGGGACCCUCGGAGGGCGGGGCCUCGCGGCCUCGGGGACUCCAACUCGGCGAGCGCCCGCGGCUCUCGGGGACCGGGCACCCACGCACCCCUGCGGCCCGGCCGGCCGGUGGUCACCACGGCGAAGGCCAGGGCUCCCUGGUUCCGGGCCGCGGAGGCGUGCAGGUGGCCUCGGGGGCGUCUGUGGGCGCAGCCCUCUCCCUAACGACCCUCUGGUCUGGAACCCCCUGGCAUUCACUAGGGGGCGCGGGUGUGACACCGCAGCGGCGUCGUGGCUGUUUUGCCUCCUGA
RNAcentral lists this long non-coding RNA (1137 nucleotides) under Macaca fascicularis (crab-eating macaque). RNAcentral describes it as "lncRNA (ENSMFAG00000064351.1)". The record is from RNAcentral. Lineage: Eukaryota; Metazoa; Chordata; Mammalia; Primates; Cercopithecidae.